GACGAACGCUGGCGGCGUGCUUAACACAUGCAAGUGGAGCGACGAACCAGGCUUCGGCCUGGGGCAAAGCCGCGAACGGGUGAGUAUCACGUGGGUAACGUGCCCCGAUGACCGGGACAACCCGAGGAAACUCGGGCUAAUACCGGAUGUGCUGGACGGCCGCAAGGCUGUUCAGUAAAGGAAGCUUCGGCCUCCGCAUUGGGAGCGGCCCGCGGCCCAUUAGCUUGUUGGUGAGGUAACGGCUCACCAAGGCAACGAUGGGUAGCUGGUCUGAGAGGACGAUCAGCCACACUGGGACUGAGACACGGCCCAGACUCCUACGGGUGGCAG
This 330-nucleotide ribosomal RNA is filed under the name uncultured Actinomycetes bacterium. RNAcentral's name for it is "bacterial SSU rRNA". It matches the Rfam family "Bacterial small subunit ribosomal RNA", at positions 28 to 351 of the family's 1533-position model. Lineage: Bacteria; Bacillati; Actinomycetota; Actinomycetes. The record is from RNAcentral.